RNAcentral lists this ribosomal RNA (253 nucleotides) under uncultured bacterium. RNAcentral's name for it is "partial 16S ribosomal RNA". It matches the Rfam family "Bacterial small subunit ribosomal RNA", at positions 524 to 776 of the family's 1533-position model. The record is from RNAcentral.
UACGAAGGGGGCUAGCGUUGCUCGGAAUCACUGGGCGUAAAGGGUGCGUAGGCGGGUCUUUAAGUCAGGGGUGAAAUCCUGGAGCUCAACUCCAGAACUGCCUUUGAUACUGAAGAUCUUGAGUCCGGGAGAGGUGAGUGGAACUGCGAGUGUAGAGGUGAAAUUCGUAGAUAUUGGGAAGAACACCGGUGGCGAAGGCGGCCAUCUGGACCGAUACUGACGCUGAGGCGCGAAAGCGUGGGGAGCAAACAGG